CCUUGUUGUGCCCAUGCAGCGGUGAGGAAGAGAGGCACGGAAGAAAGAGGCCGCGACUUGUCACUGACAUGCGCAAUCUGCAGCAGCACCGCGACACUGUCCCGCCGCGCACAAAAGCAAAACCUCCCACGUGAUCGCUCUCCCUCGGCUCUUUCCAUUUGCUUUCUUCGGGAGACCUGCCGGACGCACAAACAUUGCUGUUCCUUGCACCCACCUUCCCUACCCCGACACCGUAUCGCUCUCCCUCUCUCCUCCACCUCCGUAGUGGUGUGCGAUCCCUUCUUGACGUAUUAAGGGCCAAGAGGAAGGCAAAGGACGUUUGUGCGACUGCUCGUCUCGUCUCGUCUCGUCUCCCCCCUGCCGCUCUCUCACCCUUCUGUUGCUUGUCGACGUUCGCACCUCGUGAGAAAACGCACAAACAAGCACAGGCAGGCAUCCAUCGAAGCCCCCCUCCUCCUCCCGCGUAAGACCGGCGCGCACGGAGAGCCCAAGGGAGAUUACGUAAUAUGCUGCGAUGUCACGGUGGACUAGGGGCGCGUUUUCUGCGCCGGCCCUGUGGCGCCGCCGCGGCUGCCGUGGUGUACCCUGCAACCUCCGGGGCGGUGGCAGGAAUGGCCAUGACGAGCAGUAACACGUGCACGUACGUGCGCUCCUUCUCCACUGCGACGCCGUUGUGCCUCGCACGGCGCCUCGCUGGCAACCAUCGACGGAAGCGCAGUCGUGAGCCGACCAAGGGCGACUGGCUGUGCCAGUGUGGUGAAGUCAACUACCAAUCCAAGCGUGAGUGCUACAAGUGUGGUGCCCCCGCCCCUCCUCUCCCCCCUGGCGUUCGCCGCCCGAGUCUGCCAGGUGAGGAUCCGCAUGAUUGGGCCUGUCCGUGCGGGCAGAUGAACUUCAGAGGCGCCGUUGUGUGCCACAAGUGUCAGCAGCCAAAGCCCGUGCCGCCGCCGCUGCCCGGAAAGGAGACGACACUGUGGACAUGCCCCAAGUGCAAAGGCGUCAACCGCAACAACCGCAGGUUUUGCUUCAAGUGCUCAGCACCGUCGCCUUUAGUCGAGUUUAAGCCGCAGCAGUAGCGCGAUCCGGCGGCUGGAGUGUUGUCGCCGCUCGCGCCUGCCUAGUUGUGCCACUUUCUCGGUGGUAUCACUGCAGCUGUAGAAGCCGAUGCGUGAGAUGAGCAUGCAGCAGAGCUAGUCGCGGCAGUAGCGCAUAUGAGUCUUUCUCUCCUCCUCCCGAGGGUGACAUCAUUCGACAGAGCCCACGUAGCCAAUUAGAGAUGAGAGGACGGUGCGGCGGCGUUCCUCUGCUGCCCUCCACCCCCUGCCCACUUCCUUCUCCAGUGCUGUGUUAUCGCUUUUCCGCCUGAGAAACAUGCACACACACACACACACACACGCAUAUGCUCAUGCACGCAUGCGAGGCCUCCCCCACGUCUUCACACAUCCGCCCAAGCGCAGAAUGAUACACGCGUGAGGCGUGUGGGUCGGUGUAGACUCACACAGUACAGCAAAAGGAAAGGAAAACGAGAAGCAAGGAAAAGCGAACGUGCAGCAGAUUUGCACACGCCGUGUCGUGCACCGGCCGCUGCACAUCCGGCUGGGGAGAUGCGCCUGAGUUGCAUCGUAGGGAAGGGGGUGGAGCAAGAGGAAGGCGGUGGGGUUCCACAACUGGUGAGAGUUUCUUUUCAAGUGAAGGCCGUCCUUUGCGUCGCAAUCACGGUGCGUGCACCUGCUUCCCCUUCUUCCUUUUCCAGUCCCUCUUCUCCUUCCCUCAACAACAGCAGCAUCUCAUCCUGACUCACUCCCUCUCCCUGUAUGCCACCAGUAUCUCCCUGCGAGGAAAUUGCGGCGUUUUCCCCUCCUGCUCCUCUUGCCUCUCGCAACCCUGUCCUCUUUCUCUCUCGCUUCGACGAUCACCCAG
Molecule: unclassified non-coding RNA, 1920 nt
Filed under: Leishmania donovani
Lineage: Eukaryota; Euglenozoa; Kinetoplastea; Trypanosomatida; Trypanosomatidae
Description: gene:LdHU3.10.1650(CDS-product:Zn-finger_in_Ran_b inding_protein_and_others_putative)
Source: RNAcentral